Molecule: ribosomal RNA, 1428 nt
Filed under: uncultured organism
Description: SSU rRNA
Rfam family: Bacterial small subunit ribosomal RNA
Source: RNAcentral
GGCGGCGUGGAUAAGACAUGCAAGUCGAACGAGAGAAUUGCUAGCUUGCUAAUAAUUCUCUAGUGGCGCACGGGUGAGUAACACGUGAGUAACCUGCCCCCGAGAGCGGGAUAGCCCUGGGAAACUGGGAUUAAUACCGCAUAGUAUCGAAAGAUUAAAGCAGCAAUGCGCUUGGGGAUGGGCUCGCGGCCUAUUAGUUAGUUGGUGAGGUAACGGCUCACCAAGGCGAUGACGGGUAGCCGGUCUGAGAGGAUGUCCGGCCACACUGGAACUGAGACACGGUCCAGACACCUACGGGUGGCAGCAGUCGAGAAUCAUUCACAAUGGGGGAAACCCUGAUGGUGCGACGCCGCGUGGGGGAAUGAAGGUCUUCGGAUUGUAAACCCCUGUCAUGUGGGAGCAAAUUAAAAAGAUAGUACCACAAGAGGAAGAGACGGCUAACUCUGUGCCAGCAGCCGCGGUAAUACAGAGGUCUCAAGCGUUGUUCGGAAUCACUGGGCGUAAAGCGUGCGUAGGCUGUUUCGUAAGUCGUGUGUGAAAGGCGCGGGCUCAACCCGCGGACGGCACAUGAUACUGCGAGACUAGAGUAAUGGAGGGGGAACCGGAAUUCUCGGUGUAGCAGUGAAAUGCGUAGAUAUCGAGAGGAACACUCGUGGCGAAGGCGGGUUCCUGGACAUUAACUGACGCUGAGGCACGAAGGCCAGGGGAGCGAAAGGGAUUAGAUACCCCUGUAGUCCUGGCAGUAAACGGUGCACGCUUGGUGUGCGGGGAAUCGACCCCCUGCGUGCCGGAGCUAACGCGUUAAGCGUGCCGCCUGGGGAGUACGGUCGCAAGAUUAAAACUCAAAGAAAUUGACGGGGACCCGCACAAGCGGUGGAGUAUGUGGCUUAAUUCGAUGCAACGCGAAGAACCUUACCUGGGCUUGACAUGUAAUGAACAACAUGUGAAAGCAUGCGACUCUUCGGAGGCGUUACACAGGUGCUGCAUGGCCGUCGUCAGCUCGUGUCGUGAGAUGUUUGGUUAAGUCCAGCAACGAGCGCAACCCCUGUUGCCAGUUACCAGCACGUGAAGGUGGGGACUCUGGCGAGACUGCCCAGAUCAACUGGGAGGAAGGUGGGGACGACGUCAGGUCAGUAUGGCCCUUAUGCCCAGGGCUGCACACGUACUACAAUGCCCAGUACAGAGGGGGCCGAAGCCGCGAGGCGGAGGAAAUCCUAAAAACUGGGCCCAGUUCGGACUGUAGGCUGCAACCCGCCUACACGAAGCCGGAAUCGCUAGUAAUGGCGCAUCAGCUACGGCGCCGUGAAUACGUUCCCGGGUCUUGUACACACCGCCCGUCACAUCAUGGAAGCCGGUCGCACCCGAAGUAUCUGAAGCCAACCGCAAGGAGGCAGGGUCCUAAGGUGAGACUGGUAACUGGGAUGAAGU